AGUGAACGCUGGCGGUAGGCCUAACACAUGCAAGUCGAACGGCAGCACAGGAGAGCUUGCUCUCUGGGUGGCGAGUGGCGGACGGGUGAGGAAUACAUCGGAAUCUACUCUAUCGUGGGGGAUAACGUAGGGAAACUUACGCUAAUACCGCAUACGACCUACGGGUGAAAGCAGGGGACCUUCGGGCCUUGCGCGAUUGAAUGAGCCGAUGUCGGAUUAGCUAGUUGGCGGGGUAAAGGCCCACCAAGGCGACGAUCCGUAGCUGGUCUGAGAGGAUGAUCAGCCACACUGGAACUGAGACGCGGUCCAGACUCCUACGGGAGGCAGCAGUGGGGAAUAUUGGACAAUGGGCGCAAGCCUGAUCCAGCCAUACCGCGUGGGUGAAGAAGGCCUUCGGGUUGUAAAGCCCUUUUGUUGGGAAAGAAAUCCAGCUGGCUAAUACCCGGUUGGGAUGACGGUACCCAAAGAAUAAGCACCGGCUAACUUCGUGCCAGCCGCCGUAACAC
This 506-nucleotide ribosomal RNA is filed under the name uncultured bacterium. Its description in RNAcentral is "partial 16S ribosomal RNA". It matches the Rfam family "Bacterial small subunit ribosomal RNA", at positions 29 to 526 of the family's 1533-position model. The record is from RNAcentral.